This 241-nucleotide unclassified non-coding RNA is filed under the name plant metagenome. RNAcentral describes it as "partial contains small subunit ribosomal RNA, internal transcribed spacer 1, and 5.8S ribosomal RNA". The record is from RNAcentral.
UUUCCGUAGGUGAACCUGCGGAAGGAUCAUUAAAAGGUAAGUCUCUUCGGGCCUGAUAUCCCACCCUUUGAUUCACUACCAUUGUGUUUUGGCUUGUCGCUCUCACGACCGCCGGAAGUUUCGCUUCGAUGAACCUUGUGUUCCGUGCCCGUCAGUCGCCCAUUCAAACUCUUUAUCAAGUAUGUUUUCUUAGUUAAAAACUUAAUAGUUAAAACUUUCAACAACGGAUCUCUUAGUUCUG